RNAcentral lists this long non-coding RNA (898 nucleotides) under Trifolium pratense (red clover). RNAcentral describes it as "long non-coding RNA (TPRA_LNC013605)". Lineage: Eukaryota; Viridiplantae; Streptophyta; Magnoliopsida; Fabales; Fabaceae. The record is from RNAcentral.
UCAUUUAAUUGUAUUAAAAAUUGGAAAUUAACUCAAUUGAAUUUUGUUUUGGAGUCCAUAGGCUAGAUUUAAUUUUAUUUGAAGUCCAUAGGAUUCAUUCUAUUUUCUCUUACGUAUUUUUUAUUUCACAAAUCCAUAGCAUUUGUUAAUAUCUUUCUCUCUCUUCAAGAAAGAAGUUUUGAGAAGUUGUUUUCCACAAACAAACCCUAGCCGCCGGCCACCAAAUCCAAUGCCUCCAACUUGAUUUUGCUACCAUCAAAUCUCAUCCUNNNNNNNNNNNNNNNNNNNNNNNNNNNCUUUUGUUUUGCUUUUUUGUUGUUGUUAGAGUGGUGCUUUCAAUUUGUUUAGAUCUAGAUUUUGAUCACCACACACCACCAUUUAAAAAAUCAUCACUAUAAAAAGGCUCUCCUCCUUCUCAUCCACAAAAUCCAGAACGAAAAAUUAAGAUCGGAAUACAUUUGCCAAUAGCCACCGCGCCGGAAAAUGUAGCCACCGCGCCGGAAAAUAUAACCACCGAAUCGGAAUCGUGCUAGAAAUUGUAUCACUGUGCCAGAAACAUACUUUCUUUCUUUUCUUUUUACAUCUUUGUAUGAGAGGUUUGCUUCUUUGUCUAAGCUCCUAGUUUAACAACAACAAAAUCAGAGAAAUUAAAGGAAUUUUUUUUGCUGGUAAAGUAAUUUUUUUAUAUCUAUGUUCAUAUCUAUAAAGAAACACUCAUAUUUAUUUAAUUUAAUUUCAUGUUUAAAAUUAUUACUGCAAGGUCUUUUUAAAACAAAAUAGCAAGGUCAUUUUCUAGUUUGAAACCUACCAAGCUCUUAUUAUUCCGCAACAUUUUUUUUUUAAUUACUUAAUAAAUGUUAGUAGUUGUUUUCAUUCUACAAAAUGUUAUUUAAAAAAU